UCUUGGAGGAACUCUGAUGCAGCGACGCCGCGUGAGGGAAGAAGGUCUUCGGAUUGUAAACCUUUGUCCUUGGUGACGAUAAUGACGGUAGCCAAGGAGGAAGCUCCGGCUAACUACGUGCCAGCAGCCGCGGUAAUACGUAGGGAGCGAGCGUUGUCCGGAUUUACUGGGUGUAAAGGGUGCGUAGGCGGCUCUGCAAGUCAGGUGUGAAAACCAUCGGCUUAACUGAUGGACUGCAUUUGAAACUGUGGGGCUUGAGUGGAGUAGAGGCAGACGGAAUUCCCGGUGUAGCGGUGAAAUGCGUAAAGAUCGGGAAGAACACCAGUGGCGAAGGCGGUCUGCUGGGCUCUAACUGACGCUGAGGCACGAAAGCAUGGGUAGCAAACAGGAUUAGAUACCCUGGUAGUCCAUGCCGUAAACGAUGAUUACUAGGUGUGGGGGGUCUGACCCUCUCCGUGCCGGAGUUAACACAAUAAGUAAUCCACCUGGGAAGUACGACCGCUGGGUUGAAACU
RNAcentral lists this ribosomal RNA (514 nucleotides) under uncultured bacterium. RNAcentral describes it as "bacterial SSU rRNA". It matches the Rfam family "Bacterial small subunit ribosomal RNA", at positions 369 to 901 of the family's 1533-position model. The record is from RNAcentral.